GCGGCCUAUCAGCUUGUUUGUGAGGUAAUGGCUCACCAAGGCAACGACGGGUAGCCGGCCUGAGAGGGCGACCGGCCACACUGGGACUGAGACACGGCCCAGACUCCUACGGGAGGCAGCAGUGGGGAAUAUUGGGCAAUGGAGGCGACUCUGACCCAGCGACGCCGCGUGCGGGAUGAAGGCCUUCGGGUUGUAAACCGCUUUCAGUAGGGAAGAAGCGAAAGUGACGGUACCUACAAAAGAAGCACCGGCUAACUAUGUGCCAGCAGCCGCGGUAAUACAUAGGGUGCAAGCGUUGUCCGGAAUUAUUGGGCGUAAAGAGCUCGUAGGUCGUUUGUUACGUCGGAUGUGAAAACCUGAGGCUCAACCUCAGGCCUGCAUUCGAUACGGGCAAACUAGAGUUUGGUAGGGGAGACUGGAAUUCCU
Molecule: ribosomal RNA, 426 nt
Filed under: uncultured Actinomycetes bacterium
Lineage: Bacteria; Bacillati; Actinomycetota; Actinomycetes
Description: bacterial SSU rRNA
Rfam family: Bacterial small subunit ribosomal RNA
Source: RNAcentral